AAGACUAUAGACCUGCGGAGUACCUGCGGAAGGAUCAUUACCGAGUUUACAGCUCCCAAACCCAAUGUGAACGUUACCAAACUGUUGCCUCGGCGGGAUCUCUGCCCCGGGUGCGUCGCAGCCCCGGACCAAGGCGCCCGCCGGAGGACCAACCAAAACUCUUUUGUAUACCCCCUCGCGGGUUUUUAUAUCUGAGCCAUCUCGGCGCCUCUCGUAGGCGUUUCGAAAAUGAAUCAAAAC
RNAcentral lists this unclassified non-coding RNA (240 nucleotides) under soil metagenome. Its description in RNAcentral is "partial contains 5.8S ribosomal RNA, internal transcribed spacer 2, and large subunit ribosomal RNA". The record is from RNAcentral.